AAAAAUAGAAAGAAGGAAGAAGAAGAAGAAGAAGAAGAAGAAGAAGAAGAAGAAGAAGAAGUGGAGUAGAAAAGAAUAAGAAGGAGAAGAAGAAGAAGAAGAAGAAGAAGAAGAAGAAGAAGAAGAGAAGAAAAAAAUAAUAAGAAGAAGAAGUAAAGAAGAAGAGAAGAAGAAGAGAAGAAUAGAAUAAGAAAAAAUUAAGAAGGAUAAGAAGAGAAAAAAUAAGAAGAAGUAGAAGAAGAGGAUAAAGAAAAAUAGAAAUAGAAAU
This 268-nucleotide long non-coding RNA is filed under the name Hordeum vulgare. Its description in RNAcentral is "long non-coding RNA (HVUL_LNC009306)". The record is from RNAcentral. Lineage: Eukaryota; Viridiplantae; Streptophyta; Magnoliopsida; Poales; Poaceae.